RNAcentral lists this long non-coding RNA (5269 nucleotides) under Brassica napus (rape). RNAcentral describes it as "long non-coding RNA (BNAP_LNC006721)". Lineage: Eukaryota; Viridiplantae; Streptophyta; Magnoliopsida; Brassicales; Brassicaceae. The record is from RNAcentral.
UAUAGGAAGAUGAAAGGUAUUAAGAUCAAGUCCUGGAAGGCGGUUGAUGGGUCUAGCUCUGUUUCUGAGAAGCCCCUAGAUGCAGUUGAUAAGGAGACGAAGACGCCUGAUGAGACUUCUCAAGUCAAGAAGCUUGAACCUGAUAGUGCACCCGUUUCUUCUCAGAAGAAGACUGAUAACAAUAAGCAAGAACUGGAAGAUUCUCUUACGGUGUCGUGUCUACCUUGUUUGUUUGUUUCUUCUUCUUUUUAUGGUAAUGAACAAUUUUAACUAAACCUUAUUGGUCUUAGGUGGUCAAGAAGAUUAUGAAGAUGGAAGCUGCUGAUCCCUUUAAUGUUCCUGUCGACCCAGAAGCUCUUGGGAUUCCUGUAAGUGUGUGAUCCAUUAGCUUCAUCUUUAUUUUAUAUAUCCGAACAUAUCAACUUUGGCUUGUGAAAGCUCAUCCCCUUCAUAGGUAAAAUAGUUCUGUGUGUUUUCUUGUAAACAGACAAAAAUCAUUUUGAUCUCAACUUAAAAUUUCUUUACUACAUUUACUAGUCUUGUUAUUUAGCAUAGGGUAUGGGUUCAUCUUUAUGUGAAGGAAAUAAUACUUGUUUUAAAUCUUUUCUUUGCUUGUCAAGGGGUUUCAGAAUUGUUGUCUAACACGUUUAGCUGUUUUCGGGUUAUGUAAUUAGGACUAUUUCGAUAUCAUCAAGACACCUAUGGAUUUUGGAACAGUAUGCAGUAAUCUUGAAAAAGGCAACGUAUACAUGAAUUCUGAGGAUGUUUACAAGGAUGUCCAGUACAUCUGGAAUAACUGUUCCAAGUACAAUAAGAAAGGCGAUUAUAUCGUCGACCUGAUGAAGCGAGUCAAGAAAAAUUUCAUGAAGUACUGGGCUGCCGCCGGAUUGUAUACUGAGCAAUCUGCAGGUAUUGUUAAAAAAUUAAUCUUCUCUAGCAUUUUACUUUUUCUUCUCACGCAUUGUUAAAUUUGGUAGGUGUAGUUUUACGUUUCUGGUUCCCCUUAGGCAUAUAAAGUAGACAUUGUGAACACAUAAAACUUUUAACAAUACCUGCAGAUUGUUAACAAUGUACAGUACUGGCAUUGUUUCUGGUAGCUAUGCACUUUGGGCUGAGUAAUAUAGCUUACGGUUUAACUUAUAUGGUUUCUUCGAUUUACGAUCAGAGAAUGCUCAAGUAGAGGAUGGUGGAAAUGCAUCCUCCAAAGGUAGUCAAUCCAAGCAGAAGAGCCAGAAGCGCCAUGGGUAUAUGCCUUUGAAACUUCUUUUUUUUUUCCUUAAUGAUACGUGGGGACUCAUAAGCAUAGUUUGGUUUCAAUGUUUCAUCAGUCUUCCUAGGUUUUAUAGACAAGAGGUUAUCUUUUGCAAAGCUACUGUAACCUAGGUUUUGUCAAAUUGUAUUCUGUUUUCUGUAUAGAGCUUGUGUUGUCCUUUAUUACUGGGAUUGGGAUUUGUGAUGGGAUUCAGUUUCAUUUGAUAGUGUCAUUACUUUCGCUUUGCAGAAGGCAUCACAAGAGUGAUUGCAUGUGUGCGGUAUGUAUUUUGAAGAGACGUAAAAGAGAACGUCACAGUUCUCAAGGAAAUUCUGGAGCAGUAGAGGUUAGUAAUGUGUUUUGUUUAUCCAAAGAGAGCACACAGCCCGGGUGCUUGGCUUCCAUUGGCUGUAACUAAAUAUCAUUCUUUCUUGAAGGAAUCUUCACCUGUGAGAAGUCCGUCUGUGGAUAAUUCAUCUAUUAAUAUGCGUGAGGAGCAGGACAUGGAUGUUGAUGUCGACAACAAAACAAGACAAGGAAAAGCAGAAAUCGUGGAACUAGAUAGUCCAGUGGCAAAAAGACAAAGAGUUGGUGAAUAUAAAAAACAAAAUGUGGAGGGAGAGGAGACCCUUGAGGUGGAGACUGAAACUAAAACUAAACCUACUGUCGAGGAUAAGACUCAAUCGAUUGAUAGAUCGACAGAAGAGACUGGUGACGAGCCCGUGACUAGUGCUGCCGAGAAAUUGGCUGUUUUAGCUUCUGUUGAAGGCCCAAAAUCAACUCAGAAUGAAGAGGAAGACAAGGCAAAACGACUCCGGGAGCAGAAGGUACUCUCCGAGCUUUUAUUAUGAUGUUUUGAUUAAGCAGCAAGCACUACUGAGAGUAAUUGUAUUAUUGCAGGAGCUGCAGGAGUUAGAGCGUAAACAAUGGAGAGCUAAGAUGCAUGAGAAGUUCCAACUCAGAAACCCUCAGCUGCUAAAUCUUUGCGAGACUAUCUUUCCUAAAAGCAACAAUCAAAGUUCUGUCUGGAACGGACCUCACUCACUGUUUAAACGUCCAGAAGGCUCAAAUCGUACUAGUUCCUUGCACAAAGCAGUGGAAGCCUUGAUGAGAAGUAGUAGUUAAGGAUUCACAAUGUAACAUAAGUAUUUAGCUAUCGUUCUUCGCUUUGCCUGUUUAGAUAUGUUUGAUUGAUACAUCAAAUGUCAAACACCAUAAGAUUCUUUUCACUGAAAGCAGAAACAUCAAUUUGUUCAUGAAUUUUUAGACAAAAUGGAUUCGCUUUUACAUAAUGAUUUGACUGCCAUGAGACGAUAAGAAGGGAAUAAAACGUCAAUUAAGGCAUUGACUUAACUAUUCCACACAAUGUCAAAAAAUUGUCCAGUUGAUUAUUGGGUUAAGUUGUGUUUCCUUAAAAAAAACCUACAGAAUUACCAAAUGUGAUUAUGAUAUAUAUAGUAAUUAAUGAUUUCAAAUAAUGAAGAUUUGCUAAUAAUCUGUAUACUUUCUAUCAUUUUUGUUUAAUUUUUUAUUAUUAAAAUAAAUUACACAAUUACAUUGAUCAUAUAUUAAAAAUUUAUAUUUUUUUGUAUAUGUUGUAUUUUGAAUUUUUGAAAACGAGUACAAAUUACUAAAAUUGUUAAAAGUCUCACAUAAACUUGUGUGAUCAAUGUUUAAAUAUUUUCUAUAAUAAGAUACUAUGAUAAUAAAAUCAUAUAAAUAAAUAAUUUUAUUUUAGUAGGUGUUUAUGUUAAUAUAUAUAUACUUCAUAUCGUUUAAAUUUAAUUAUAUAUAAUAUACGAUAGAUAAGAUUGAUUGUUUUGAUCUAUUUAUCCUAAAAUGAUUGCGAAUAAACAAGCGUGGUCAUUUGAUUUAUAUGUGCAAGUCAAUUUAUUACAUGAUAGUAACUGAUGUCUUAGUUAUUUAAUAUAUAAUUAUUAUUUUACUAUUUCAUAAUAUGCAUAAAAAUAUAAAAUAAGUAAUAUAUAUAUAAAAUAUUUAUUCUUCACAAGACGUCGAUCUUAACCUAAGUAUGUAUCUCUUUAAUAAUUUUGAAUCUUAAACAUUUUUUAAAUCUGAGGCGAAAUAAAAUAAAAAAAUGAGAAUAAACUCAAAAAUCAAUAUUUAUAUCAAGCAAUAACCAAAAUAACACAAAAAGGAGAAAAAUAUCGAAGAUAAAUAGGAUUGACACGUGAACGUAAACUUCUCAUAAACAUAAUUAACUUUUAAAUUGUUAAAUCAUGAUAUAAAACCGAGCUGACAUAGUUUCACUGUAACCAAAUAGUAGGCAUGAGAUUCUUCGGCCUAAACGUUAGGUUUUUAUGCGAUAAAUAAUUUUUGACCUAAAAUAUUUUAAAAAAUAGGAUUAGUUCAUUAGUAGACAAAUUAUGUAAUUAACAAAAAAAAAAUUUUAAAUUUUUUUAAGGACCAAAAAUAUUAAUUCGAUCAAUAAUCUAAAUUUUAUUUUCAUACGAUAUUUUUAAAUAAUUUUCAUUUAAAUUUACUCUGCGCAAGACGCAUGUCUUAUCCUAGUACAAUACUACAACAUAUUUUGCCAAACCCUAGACCAAAGAAUAUCAUGACUCACUACUUUCACUCAUCUAUGUUGAAAAUAAUUCAAUUUUAUUAUAUUUUAAUUUAUAUCACUUAAAACUGUUUAUAAUUACAUGAUUUUAAUUUUUUGCUUAUCAAAAUAUUUUUUACAAAAUUUAUAAAUUAUUUUUAAGAUCCACUACACCAGACAACUUCCGUAACUUCCGUGGACGUCGUCCAGAAGACUCGGAAGACUUAGCAGGGAUAUAUUCGUAAAAAUGAGUUAUGUUUUUAUGUUUGGUCACAAGGGACUGUGUGUAAUUUCACAAGGUUUUUAGGUUACUUUUUGCAUUUGAUUCAAAUUUGGGUAUAUUUUUACAAUCAAAGUCAAAUUUUGAAUCAUAUUUGGCAAAUUCAUUUGAAAGGGCUGUAAUGUCAAAAAGUCCAUAGUUACCCAAAACAUUACUGGAAGGGUUGUAAUGUCAAAAAAUUCAUUAAAAUUUUGCAUAUUUGAGUUUUUGACGCUUGUUUUGUUUUGGAUUUGGCACAUAUGCAUUUUUUGCUUGGCCCAUAACAAACCCAUUAGCAAAAACGACGACGUAAGUGUUAAAUCUGCAGAGAAGGGUCUUAAAACUCUAAAAAAGCACCGAAUCGUCUGGGGUCUAAUAAGCGACGCUCGAAGAAUUACGAGUCGAAAGUCGAAAGCGCGGUCUCGUCGAGUUCUAUUAAAAGUUUGUUUGGUAAAAAUCUCUGUUUCCCUCCAACUUUUUGAAUCUCUCCCUCUUCCUCUUCCCCCGCAAGAUUCUCUGCUCUGCUGGUUUGCCCUAGAUCUAGUGUUUAGUGAGUGAUUCAAGAUUGUUUUGAUUCGAUUAGCCUAUAUAUGAUCGGAUCUCUUGAUUGCAAAUUGUUUGUCUUCUUUCGGAUAAUCUAAUCCAAUCAAGGUUUUUGCAGGAGUCUCUCGCUCGUAGCUGUGAUGAAGCGUAAGGGAGGACAUAAGAAAGGGAACAAGUCUAAAAAGUCCACCGAACCAGAGACUUUGAAUGAGUCUGUUCAAAACAGCGACUCUGAGCAAAGUUCGGGUGAGUGUGAGAAGAGUAAAACGGAGGUUGAUGCACCUGACAGUUCACCUAGUGUAGAUCCGGUUAAGUCUGUGGGGCGUGUUAAGGUUAAACUGAAGACCUCCUCCAAAGCACUUGAACCUGAUGUUCCCUUGACUACUCCUCAAAAAGAGGAUCCUGUUCCUCCUCGUUUGCCUGAGCGAAAACCAGUUCUCAACGUUUAUAGGAAGAUGAAAGGUAUUAAGAUCAAGUCCUGGAAGGCGGUUGAUGGGUCUAGCUCUGUUUCUGAGAAGCCCCUAGAUGCAGUUGAUAAGGAGACGAAGACGCCUGAUGAGACUUCUCAAGUCAAGAAGCUUGAACCUGAUAGUGCACCCGUUUCUUCUCAGAAGAAGACUGAUAACAAUAAGCAAGAACUGGAAGAUUCUCU